Molecule: long non-coding RNA, 456 nt
Organism: Oncorhynchus keta (chum salmon)
Lineage: Eukaryota; Metazoa; Chordata; Actinopteri; Salmoniformes; Salmonidae
Exons: 4
Source: RefSeq, a predicted model, not a curated record
UAUGAGGAGGUUUUAGGACAGAGACGAUAAGUUAAAUGUAUGAGGAGGUUUUCGGACAGAGACGAUAAGUUAAAUGUAUGAGGAGGUUUUCGGACAGAGACGAUAAGUUAAAUGUAUGAGGAGGUUUUCGGACAGAGACGAUAAGUUAAAUGUAUGAGGAGGUUUUCGGACAGAGACGAUAAGUUAAAUGUAUGAGGAGGUUUUCGGACAGAGACGAUAAGUUAAAUGUAUGAGGAGGUUUUCGGACAGAGACGAUAAGUUAAAUGUAUGAGGAGGUUUUCGGACAGAGACGAUAAGUUAAAUGUAUGAGGAGGUUUUUGGACAGAGACGAUAAGUUACAUGUAUGAGGAGGUUUUCGGACAGAGACGAUAAGUUACAUGUAUGGCUAAUUAAUUUACUAGGACUGAUAAUGUUGUCAGCUGCAUAACAGAUGAAGGCAUCAUAUUGAUAAGCAGG